GAUGAACGCUGGCGGCGUGCUUAACACAUGCAAGUCGAACGGAGAAAAGAAGCUUGCUUCUUUUCUUAGUGGCGGACGGGUGAGUAACGCGUGGGUAACCUGCCCUAUGCAGGGGGAUAACGUUGGGAAACCAACGCUAAUACCGCAUAAAACAAAGAGCUUGCAUGAGCUUUUUGUCAAAGAUUUAUCGGCAUAGGAUGGACCCGCGUUGGAUUAGCUAGUUGGUGAGAUAACAGCCCACCAAGGCGACGAUCAAUAGCCGGCCUGAGAGGGUGGACGUACACAUUGGGACUGAGACCCGACCCAAACUCCUACGGGAGGCAGCAGUUGGGAAUAUUUCACAAUGGGCGCAAGCCUGAUGCAGCGACGCCGCGUGAAGGAUGAAGGUUUUCGGAUCGUAAACUUCUAUCAGCAGGGAGGAACCAAAUGACGGUACCUGACUAAGAAGCCCCGGCUAACUACGUGCCAGCCGCCGCAGUAA
RNAcentral lists this ribosomal RNA (481 nucleotides) under uncultured bacterium. RNAcentral's name for it is "partial 16S ribosomal RNA". It matches the Rfam family "Bacterial small subunit ribosomal RNA", at positions 28 to 523 of the family's 1533-position model. The record is from RNAcentral.